AUUGAACGCUGGCGGCAGGCCUAACACAUGCAAGUCGAGCGGAUGAGCCGAGCUUGCUCCUUGAUUUAGCGGCGGAAGGGUGAGUAAUGCCUAGGAAUCUGCCUGGUAGUGGUGGAUCACGUUCCGAAAGGAACGCUAAUACCGCAUACGACCUACGGGAGAAAGCAGGGGACCUUCGGGCCUUGCGCUAUCAGAUGAGCCUAGGCCGGAUUAGCUAGUUGGUGAGGUAAUGGCUCACCAAGGCGACGAUCCGUCACUGGCCUGAGAGGAUGAUCAGUCACAUGGGAACGUGAACACGGUCCAGACUCCUACGGGAGGCAGCAGUGGGGAAUAUUAGACAAUGGGCGAAAGCAUGAUCCAGCCAUGCCACGUGUGUGGAGAAGGUCUUCGGUUUGUAAAGCACGUUAAGUUGGGAGAAAGGGCAGUAAGCUAAUACGUUGCUGUUUUGACGGUACCGACAGAAGAAGCACCGGCUAACUUCGUG
RNAcentral lists this ribosomal RNA (484 nucleotides) under uncultured bacterium. Its description in RNAcentral is "partial 16S ribosomal RNA". It matches the Rfam family "Bacterial small subunit ribosomal RNA", at positions 30 to 507 of the family's 1533-position model. The record is from RNAcentral.